AGCUUUGUUGCCUGGGGGGAGCAGGGAGAUGGCUGAGGCCAAACCUCAGCCUGCAGCCACCUCUCGCUGACGGCCUCGUGUCUCUCCUGCCUGCUGUAGGGAGAGCCGGGGAUCCCAGGCCGCUCCGGACUGCCAGGGAGGAAGGGCGAGCCGGGAGAGCUGGGCCUGUCGGGAGCACCGGGCAUCCCCGGCAAGGAGGGACUGAUGGGGCCCAAGGGCGACCGGGGAUUCGACGGGCAGCAAGGAGCCAAGGGAGACCAGGGGGAGAAAGGAGACCGGGGCGCUCUAGGUGUUAUCGGCGCCCCCGGCCCGCGGGGCAGCGACGGGGCGCCCGGCCCCCCCGGUCCCCCGGGCAGCGUUGGCCCACGAGGUCCCGAGGGCAUGCAGGGCCAGAAGGUGAGUCCCCGGUGUGCGACGCCAGAGAGCGCAGCGGGGCUCUGGGGCUCGCUGGGGGCGCGGGGAGCCACC
Molecule: long non-coding RNA, 468 nt
Filed under: Struthio camelus australis
Lineage: Eukaryota; Metazoa; Chordata; Aves; Struthioniformes; Struthionidae
Description: lncRNA (ENSSCUG00000010898.1)
Source: RNAcentral